RNAcentral lists this transfer RNA (56 nucleotides) under Ceratophora tennentii. RNAcentral's name for it is "tRNA-Cys". Lineage: Eukaryota; Metazoa; Chordata; Lepidosauria; Squamata; Agamidae. The record is from RNAcentral.
AGACCCAGUGAACGAAAAAUUCUACUCCAAAUUUGCAGUUUGGCACUUGCUGGGCC